CAAAAUAUAGUUUAUAAAAAUAUUAAUUUUGGAGAUUAAAGAUAUUAUUAUAAAAAUAGUUAUUUUGA
Molecule: transfer RNA, 68 nt
Filed under: Dorymyrmex brunneus
Lineage: Eukaryota; Metazoa; Arthropoda; Insecta; Hymenoptera; Formicidae
Description: tRNA-Pro
Source: RNAcentral